UACGUAGGGUGCAAGCGUUAAUCGGAAUUACUGGGCGUAAAGCGUGCGCAGGCGGUGAUGUAAGACAGAUGUGAAAUCCCCGGGCUCAACCUGGGACCUGCAUUUGUGACUGCAUUGCUAGAGUACGGCAGAGGGGGAUGGAAUUCCGCGUGUAGCAGUGAAAUGCGUAGAUAUGCGGAGGAACACCGAUGGCGAAGGCAAUCCCCUGGGCCUGUACUGACGCUCAUGCACGAAAGCGUGGGGAGCAAAAGGG
Molecule: ribosomal RNA, 253 nt
Filed under: uncultured prokaryote
Description: partial 16S ribosomal RNA
Rfam family: Bacterial small subunit ribosomal RNA
Source: RNAcentral